RNAcentral lists this ribosomal RNA (253 nucleotides) under uncultured bacterium. Its description in RNAcentral is "partial 16S ribosomal RNA". It matches the Rfam family "Bacterial small subunit ribosomal RNA", at positions 524 to 776 of the family's 1533-position model. The record is from RNAcentral.
UACGUAGGUGGCAAGCGUUAUCCGGAUUUACUGGGUGUAAAGGGCGUGUAGGCGGGGACGCAAGUCAGAUGUGAGAACCACGGGCUCAACCUGUGGCCUGCAUUUGAAACUGUGUUUCUUGAGUACUGGAGAGGCAGACGGAAUUCCUAGUGUAGCGGUGAAAUGCGUAGAUAUAUGGAGGAACACCGGUGGCGAAAGCGGCUCUCUGGCCUGUAACUGACACUGAGGCUCGAAAGCGUGGGGAGCAAACAGG